UUUAGAUUAAGAUUUUUUCAUUUGCAAGAAAUCACUACACUUUAAAAAGCCUUCGAACAUAUUUUUUAAUAUGAAGCAGAAAUUACUGAGAAUUCAUUUUUUAGACCAGCAGACCAUAUAUUAACCUCGUCUCAUAUAGUGAUAAAUCAGACCCCUUUAAUGGCAGCGGACUUGCCAGGACCAUCUUGAUUUAAAGGGGAACUAUGUUGUGAUAUUAUCCUUACUUAUCCUUGUAUUUACCAAAUCUAUUUUUGUGAGCUGUGGCAAAUAUAAUUAUAUUUAGAAAUCCACAACUAUUUGUCUUGCAACUGGAUGCCACCAUCGUGGGUCCCAUCUUAAGGCACAGCCAGGGCACAUGACUGUCUGAACUGGAUAAUGUAUAAAUGUACAAAAAUAUCCUCUUGUUUAUUUUAAUUGGUUUCCACUUAUAACACAUUGGUGUAAGGAUAGUGUGUAUAUAUACAUUUGAACUGGAUAAUGAUAUGAUUUGCUAAAUUUUCGAUAGGUUAUUUUCAGUGUUCUCUCAAAUUUCUAAAACUUGUGCUUUUAAAUGAGAUGCUCUGUGUUUUAUUCAGUUGUGUAAAUUCCAGAGAAUUGACCGUUCCCCUAUUAAGUGAGUUAUAAAAAAAAAAAAAAAAAGUCAAACUGAAUAAAGUUCACAAAGCUUGUCCUCACUGGCUAAAACCAGGCAAGAGAAACGUGGAGGAAAGAAACCUUUUAGAUUAUUCUGUGUAUAUAUCCUUUGUGGCCAGAAACAGGCACUUGUAUUCAGCAAAUUGAAACCUCAAAUAAAUGCAGUCUUGUUAAAGUAUAUUAUUACUUUCUCAAAAGACCAGUGCUGACAGUGUAUAGUCCAUAGUUUAUUGAGAAUAUUCAAGAAUAUUACUGAGCAGACAUCAUUUAUUUUGUUUGGACACCGUAAGUGUUUAGAAAAGGAU
Molecule: non-coding RNA, 938 nt
Organism: Pelobates cultripes (western spadefoot toad)
Lineage: Eukaryota; Metazoa; Chordata; Amphibia; Anura; Pelobatidae
Source: the annotation of a GenBank genome assembly